Molecule: long non-coding RNA, 637 nt
Filed under: Gossypium barbadense (sea-island cotton)
Lineage: Eukaryota; Viridiplantae; Streptophyta; Magnoliopsida; Malvales; Malvaceae
Description: long non-coding RNA (GBAR_LNC003463)
Source: RNAcentral
CUCAAUAAUUUCCAGCCGCGCACAUCAUGUACAGGUAUCUUUGAACUGUCUCGUUAUAUCCUCUUUCUGGUUUCCAGAAGCAUCUUUUUCUUUUUUUCUGUUUCCGGAUAGUUGAAGCUCAAGUAAAAGAAACAGCUUGUGGUUUAAUCUAUUUAGGAUAUAAAUCGGAGUAAUACAAAAAUAGAGAAGUCGAUAACUUGUAUAGAAUGAUAAUGAGCCAAUUCGUUAUUUUCGUGUUAGUGUUGCAUUAUAUAGCUGUGCAUUUAGAUACCAUCACACUGGCAACUAUAAAUCCGUAGGGUUGUCAAAUUUUUUCCCGGUCCUCGUAUUUGGUAGCUGGAGUUGUUAACCAUUUGCUAACAGGUAAAACCCAAUCCAGAAAACUGAAGGUUUUGCUUGGUGUUUGGCAGAUUGUACAGCAAAGCAAAGAAGAAGAUGGUUGGUGGUAAAGCUUUGAAGCAAACUAGGCUAUGGUGUUGAGGGACUUUUUUUCUGACCCACAAGAAAUUGAUGGUUAUUCAAAGUUCUGUGUUGAACAUUUUUUCUGAAAUGCUAUUGGUUUAAUAUAAAGUAUGACCAAUCGUAGACUUUGUAAAUUAUACUUCCAAGUUAUUAUUAGCAAUCUCUUUGAUUAAAA